CAGUCGCCGCGGUAAUACGUAGGUGGCGAGCGUUAUCCGGAAUUAUUGGGCGUAAAGGGUGCGUAGGCGGCCUGUUAAGUAAGUGGUUAAAUUGUUGGGCUCAACCCAAUCCAGCCACUUAAACUGGCAGGCUAGAGUAUUGGAGAGGCAAGUGGAAUUCCAUGUGUAGCGGUAAAAUGCGUAGAUAUAUGGAGGAACACCAGUGGCGAAGGCGGCUUGCUAGCCAAAGACUGACGCUCAUGCACGAAAGCGUGGGGAGCAAAUAGGAUUAGAUACCCCUGUAGUCCCUGUCUCUUAUACA
RNAcentral lists this ribosomal RNA (301 nucleotides) under uncultured bacterium. RNAcentral's name for it is "partial 16S ribosomal RNA". It matches the Rfam family "Bacterial small subunit ribosomal RNA", at positions 509 to 808 of the family's 1533-position model. The record is from RNAcentral.